GAUGAACGCUAGCGACAGGCCUAACACAUGCAAGUCGAGGGGCAGCACAAGGAGCAAUCUGAGGUGGCGACCGGCGCACGGGUGAGUAACACGUAUGCAACCUACCUGUAAGAGGGGGAUAACCCGUUGAAAGACGGACUAAUACCGCAUAAUACUGAAUAACCGCAUGGUUAAUCAGUUAAACAUUUAUGGCUUACAGAUGGGCAUGCGCAUGAUUAGCUAGUUGGUGAGGUAACGGCUCACCAAGGCAACGAUCAUUAGGGGUUCUGAGAGGAAGGUCCCCCACACUGGUACUGAGACACGGACCAGACUCCUACGGGAGGCAGCAGUGAGGAAUAUUGGUCAAUGGGCGAGAGCCUGAACCAGCCAAGUCGCGUGAAGGAUGAAGGUUUUAGAAUUGUAAACUUCUUUUGCAGGGAAUAAAGUGCGGUACGUGUACCGUUUUGUAUGUACUCUGCGAAUAAGGAUCGGCUAACUCCGUGCCAGCAGCCG
RNAcentral lists this ribosomal RNA (492 nucleotides) under uncultured bacterium. RNAcentral's name for it is "bacterial SSU rRNA". It matches the Rfam family "Bacterial small subunit ribosomal RNA", at positions 28 to 517 of the family's 1533-position model. The record is from RNAcentral.